Molecule: transfer RNA, 62 nt
Filed under: Goniada japonica
Lineage: Eukaryota; Metazoa; Annelida; Polychaeta; Phyllodocida; Goniadidae
Description: tRNA-His
Source: RNAcentral
GUAAAAGUAAUUUAAAUAAAAUAUUGAAUUGUGAUUUCAAAAAUACUAUAUAGUCUUUUACC